RNAcentral lists this ribosomal RNA (707 nucleotides) under Rhodococcus sp. CCM-042. Its description in RNAcentral is "bacterial SSU rRNA". It matches the Rfam family "Bacterial small subunit ribosomal RNA", at positions 22 to 746 of the family's 1533-position model. Lineage: Bacteria; Bacillati; Actinomycetota; Actinomycetes; Mycobacteriales; Nocardiaceae. The record is from RNAcentral.
GCUCAGGACGAACGCUGGCGGCGUGCUUAACACAUGCAAGUCGAGCGGUAAGGCCUUUCGGGGUACACGAGCGGCGAACGGGUGAGUAACACGUGGGUGAUCUGCCCUGCACUUCGGGAUAAGCCUGGGAAACUGGGUCUAAUACCGGAUAUGACCUCCUAUCGCAUGGUGGGUGGUGGAAAGAUUUAUCGGUGCAGGAUGGGCCCGCGGCCUAUCAGCUUGUUGGUGGGGUAAUGGCCUACCAAGGCGACGACGGGUAGCCGACCUGAGAGGGUGACCGGCCACACUGGGACUGAGACACGGCCCAGACUCCUACGGGAGGCAGCAGUGGGGAAUAUUGCACAAUGGGCGAAAGCCUGAUGCAGCGACGCCGCGUGAGGGAUGACGGCCUUCGGGUUGUAAACCUCUUUCAGCAGGGACGAAGCGCAAGUGACGGUACCUGCAGAAGAAGCACCGGCUAACUACGUGCCAGCAGCCGCGGUAAUACGUAGGGUGCAAGCGUUGUCCGGAAUUACUGGGCGUAAAGAGUUCGUAGGCGGUUUGUCGCGUCGUUUGUGAAAACCAGCAGCUCAACUGCUGGCUUGCAGGCGAUACGGGCAGACUUGAGUACUGCAGGGGAGACUGGAAUUCCUGGUGUAGCGGUGAAAUGCGCAGAUAUCAGGAGGAACACCGGUGGCGAAGGCGGGUCUCUGGGCAGUAACUGACGC